AAUUUUCAGAUGAAUCGGACAUUCUGUUGUUGGGUUGCUGCCCCUGAAAUGGUAAUUUUAAGGAAAGUUUGCUGUUUUUUGGUUAUUAUCUUGAAUAUUAUUAUAGAUAGAGAUAAACUGUAAACAGCAAUAAUGUUCAGCAAAGUAAGAUCUACAAAUAAGUCAACAUGACCAAAAUGGUCAGUUGACCACUUUAGGAGUUAUUGCCCUUUAUAGUCAAUUUUUAACCAUUUUUCGUAAAUCUUAGUAAUCUUUUAGAAAAAUCUUCUUCUCUGAAACUACUGGGCCAAAUUUUACCAAACUUAGCCAUAAUCAUCAUUGGGGUAUCUAGUUUUAAAAAAUGUGUCCGGUAACUCGGCCAACAAACCAAGAUGGCCGCCAUGGCUAAAAAUAGAACAUGGGGUAAAAUGCAGUUUUUGGCUCAUAACUCAAAAACCAAAGCAUUAAGAGCAAAUCUGACACGAAGUAAAAUUGUUGAUCAUGUCACGAUCUAUCUGCCCUGGAAUUUUCAGAUGAAUCGGAUAAUCGGUUGUUAGGUUGCCUCCCCUGAAUUGGUAAUUUUGAGGAAAUUUUGCUGUUUUUUUGUUAUUAUCUUGAAUAUUAUUAUAGAUAGAGAUAAACUGUGAACAGCAAUAAUGCACAGCAAAGUAAGAACUAAAAAUAAGUCAGUAUGACCAAAAUAGUCAAUUGACCCCCUAAGGAGUUAUUGCUCUUCAUAGUCAAUUUUUAACAAUUUUCUUAAAAUUUGAAGAUUUUCAAUAACAUUUUCCACAGAAAGUACUGUUAUAGAUAGAGAUAAUUGUAAGCAGCAAGAAUGUUUAGUAAAGUAAGAUCUACAAACACAUCACCAUCACAAAAACACAAUUUUGUCAUGAAUCUAUCUGUGUCCAUUGUUUAAUAUUCACAUAGACCAAGGUGAGCAACACAGGCUCUUUAGAGCCUCUAGUUUACAAGA
This 955-nucleotide long non-coding RNA is filed under the name Mytilus galloprovincialis (Mediterranean mussel). The record is from RNAcentral. Lineage: Eukaryota; Metazoa; Mollusca; Bivalvia; Mytilida; Mytilidae.